Molecule: non-coding RNA, 1712 nt
Organism: Myodes glareolus (Bank vole)
Lineage: Eukaryota; Metazoa; Chordata; Mammalia; Rodentia; Cricetidae
Source: RefSeq, a predicted model, not a curated record
UUGCUCCCGGUGUCACCCGGCCUCGGUCUCGGCUGUGGCCAUGUCCCGGAUGUGUGGGGUCGCCGGCAGACUCGGCGCUCGAGGUUCGGGACUCUGGGUCAAGGCCAGUUGUGCGCUCAGGCUGCCAGGUACAGUGUCGCCUUAGCCCCGCAGGGUUGCUGAGGAGCAGGUGGCAGGGCAGUCGGCUCUCCCCCGGUUCUGGGGGACAAUGGUACGCUCCUUGCCAGGGCCCGAGCACCAAGCAGGGUCGCGCCCGCAUCGCUACCUAAGGGACGAGAAAGGCGCACACCAGCAAAGCGCACGGAUAACAAUGGCCAGAUCCAACUUCCUUUCGAUGAAAAUCAAGCCAGAUGGCUUCCAGAGUGACUAAUUCGGUGCACUCAGAAGAAGGACAAUGGACCUGAGGACAGCUUAGCUGACAACCACCCAGCCAAAGAAACGGAAUGAGAAAAGCUCCAGGAGGAACCUGUAAUCCAGCCCACAGAGAGGAGCCUGAUCCAGACCUGCAACCCCAACUCACAUUGCUGCAGGGAGACUUCAGACAAAGAGAUCCUGCUGAGUUGAGCUGACUGUGGUGUCUGCAGCUGGCUGUGGUGGUCCCAGUACCAAGGACUCUUCCUUUACCCAUCUACUCUUCCCAUGAUAUUGACAGCUAUUGCUGUGGCUGCCAGAGCGGCUAAAGCUGCUGGAUUUUUCCUUUAAUCAGUCAGUUGCUUCUGCUAGCGCUAUGGAUACCCUCUCAGGGCAGGUUGCAAAUGCUGUGGCCAUUCAAAUUGAGCUAAAUUUACAAUUGAAUACUGCGGUUAAUUUUGCUGUUGGUUGUGGUUUUUGACCUCUGUUAGGUCAGGAAAGGCUUUUUACUGUUUUUCAUGGACCCUGGAGUACAAGAUUUGCCAAUUGGCUAUUAUUUAUUAUUCUAGUUAGCUAUACCAGGGUUCCUUCCACCAGUGCUGAGACCUUACUUUAAGGGCUCCAUUUUGGGCAGAUUUUUUAAGGAUUGAGCAGGCACAGUCUCCUUUAGGAGUGCUUAUGUGUGCUGGAGCAUCAUCCUCAUGAUUUCAUGGUGCCAGAGCCAAAGGCAAGCUCAGGUCAAUGUUGCCACGUGACAAGUCCUCUUAGCUAUUGCCCCGGAGUAUUUUUCAGCAUAAAUCUGGCUGAACUUGGUGAUGGGUGACUAGUGAGCCAAUGACAGGUAAGGUUUUUGGGGGUUUGCCCCAACCUAAGACAGGAAAUGUGUUUUGACCUGAAUGCUUUCCCAUGAUGGGUAAGGGGUUCUGCCUGACGUCCAUUGCCACCUAAGACAGGCCUAGUCAUAUAAUUUAUAUAAAAGGGGGUCCUGUAGGGCCCCGGUCUCCUCUUACUCCCUGGGGUGCGUUUUGAGGACAGUUUGGUCUGCCAGCUAAAGCUUCCUGCUGUUCCUGUGUUCUCUCUGCCAUAACCUGGUGAUUUAGCCGUAGGGCUUUGCUUCAUCUUUGGUAUGGUAACUUCCCACCAGCCCGGGAGAAUUCCUACACGGCGCCAAGUUCUCUCUCCGCUGCUGUUGCUGCUCUCCGCCCUCAACCCCCUGCCUGGGGAGUAAUCCCUAUGGUGCCAGUUUCCCUACGGUGCCAGGUUCCCCUCUGGCUGGGAGGGAAUUCCUUUACUGGGGCCAAGGUAUUUUAGCUUUGUAUUAAGCUGAAUAAAGUGGCAUUUGGUGAUCUCUUGUCGGAUGA